Molecule: non-coding RNA, 684 nt
Organism: Chrysemys picta bellii (western painted turtle)
Lineage: Eukaryota; Metazoa; Chordata; Testudines; Emydidae
Source: RefSeq, a predicted model, not a curated record
AUGGCACUGUUCGAAUUCCUGGGGGGAUCCCAGCCCAGAGGUCUCACGUGAGCCAUGUGAGCCCAAUGAUGCCAGCAGGAAUCGCACAGCUGCCCCAUACAGCAGGUAUGAGGGGGAGCUGCUGGGAAGUGGGUCCCUGAUGCUCUGGGGGUGGGCACCUACCAGGGAGGCUGGGACAGUGCUGGGCCUUCUCUUCCAUGGAAGCCUGGGGCUCUGUUGGAGGGGCACUGUGGGGCUUUUUCUGCCAUGGGCCUUUAUGUGGGAGGGGGGAACAUUUUAACCCUUCUCUCUCUGCUGUGCCUCUGUCCUUCCCUUUUGUCCCCCAGCAGCAGCAGGCAUCACCCUCUCCCCUUCUCUCUCGGAUGCAGUGACCCCCAGUGACCAGUUGCAGCAGGAGGAGGAGACAGAUCUGACCACGGAGGAAGCUGCCUGGAAGGUUGUCAUGGAGCAUUUCCAGGGUGGAGGCAAGGGCUCAGGGUGUGGCUGAGCAGAUCCAGUUCCUGCGUGCCAUCCCCCAACUCAAUGUAUUUCACUGCACAGAAGAGUGGGCAGGACUCUCUGGAGCCACCUUACUCCAAAGCAGCCCUGGCAGAGAGGAUUGCAGAGCUGACUUAAGAGCUGCCCUUGGACUCUGCGCUCAGCUCCAUCCUCUUCAGCUCCAUGGUCGCCGUGUGCAACCUCAGG